Molecule: unclassified non-coding RNA, 341 nt
Filed under: uncultured fungus
Lineage: Eukaryota; Fungi
Description: partial contains 5.8S ribosomal RNA and internal transcribed spacer 2
Rfam family: 5.8S ribosomal RNA (bases 1-133)
Source: RNAcentral
UGGUUCUGGCAUCGAUGAAGAACGCAGCGAAAUGCGAUAAGUAAUGCGAAUUGCAGAAUUCAGUGAAUCAUCGAAUCUUUGAACGCACAUUGCGCCCGCCGGUAUUCUGGCGGGCAUGCCUGUCCGAGCGUCAUUUCAACCCUCGAACCCCUCCGGGGGGUCGGCGUUGGGGAUCGGCCCUCCCUCGCGGCGGGCCGUCUCCGAAAUACAGUGGCGGUCUCGCCGCAGCCUCUCCUGCGCAGUAGCUUGCACACUCGCACCGGGAGCGCGGCGCGCCCACAGCCGUUAAACACCCAACUUUCUGAAACGUUGACCUCGGAUCAGGUAGGAAUACCCGCUGA